UUACAUGAACUUGAUCAAGGGAAAGAAUCCUGGUUUUGGCGCUCAUGAAUGAGGUGUCGACAGUGAUUAAUAUCUGUUAUUAUAUAUAAACUUUCCCUAAACCCUCUUUACAUGAACUUGAUCAAGGGAAAGAAUCUGUUUAUAGAGUGAAAUUGUUGUCAUAUGAGUGAACACCGUUUUUUAAUCAUAAUCCUGUACAUGUUAUAUCAUGCAAUGGAAAAAUAAGCUAUCUAUAGCUUUCUCAACAUAUUUUACCUUGUGAAAUUCUGUGGGUUUUAACUUUUUUGAAAAAUCGUCUAAAUUCAGUGGGUUUUAACUUUUUAAAAAUGUUUAUGUUUGUUGACAAAUUUUACCACAAAAAAAUGUCACACUUUCCCUAGGGCAUUAAAUUAUUUGAUCUUUACAUAUUUUUCUUUACAAAGUGCUGACUGUUGCUGUAAUUAUGCAUGAUAUUUUCAUAUCUAGAGGAAAAAAGUGCAUGGUUUGCAUGAUAGUUACCUAAGCCUACAAUAAAGUUUACGCGGAGUUGUCUCCAUUUCUUUUUCAAAUAUUUUACGCAUUUAGCUACAUAUGGUAUAUAUAUCUAAAAUAGAAAGGUGCUUACUUGAAGUUUGUAUUUUUAGGGCCAGUGCCAAUGUUAUAGAACUUGUUUCACAAUCGACAAAAAAAAUAAAUUAGUAAAAACUUA
This is a long non-coding RNA of Mercenaria mercenaria, 688 nucleotides long. RefSeq lists it as uncharacterized. The record is from RefSeq and is a predicted model, not a curated record. The transcript has 2 exons. Lineage: Eukaryota; Metazoa; Mollusca; Bivalvia; Venerida; Veneridae.